UUUUUUUGCAAGUAAGAUGUUUGAAUGCGUGAGGUCCGUGCCAAUUUUCAGCACGUUUGAACAUCUGAGUAGCUCUCGGCAAAAAAAGGAUCCAAACAGUGCACGAACAAUAAACUUUUCACAGACCCUGAUUUUAUUUUUUAUAAGAGCUACUCAGAUAUCAAAACACACUCAAAUUGACAAGAACAUCACGCAUUCAAACAACUUUCAUGCCAAAAAAAUUAAAAAAUGUAAAAUUUCUAGUAUUUUUCUAUUUUACUGUUCACGUCGCAGUCGCGCGCCGCCACACUCACUUGCACAAAGAAGGGCCUGGCAGCGAGCUCAAGACAUCAGAAGUGUAUCUUGGAGCGACGGAAGUAGAGCCCACAUCCGUCCACUGGCUUCGACGAAUCCGAGUCAUGGAAGGUGGCAGGGAGGAGGUACAGCGAGUCGGCGACGACUGGGUCGAGGAGACGAUGAGCGUCGAGCGGGGAAAGCAUGAGGUCAAGGAGAGGUGUGGGAGGCCGGUGGCGGCGGUGCCAUACUUGGGAUCUUACGGAUUUAAGGAAAAAGGCAAUGGUGGGUGAGUCGGGGCACUGUGGCUCGACAACCAGUGCACGGCGUUGGUCGAACGGUUUGGAUCUGGUGGCAGGUUGUAGGAUCGAAAGGAGUGUCUAGGAGGGGUGAAUAGACAACUAGCAUGAGUCAAUGGGCAAUCUUAAGUUCUUUAACAUUUAGGCGGAUUUUAGCACAAUCUAAAGUAGUACAAGCAUACUCUACACAAGCAUACCUAGAGCAUAGGCAACAGAAAGAAAAAUCGGUCAUGCCCGUGCAAGAAAGUAAGGAGUAGAAUUUGAGAGAAUCGCAAACAAUGGUUGACACAGAAGAUUUUUGACCCGCGGUCCCGAUAGGUCGUGAUAUCGUACGUCCACGGUUGAUGGAAGCUUCAAUCAUAAGGAUUACGUUUAUGGAUUCCAUAGAGGAAUCGAGUCCACAGAGGGCUCACACACACGAAGGAUCCAUGAAGAAGCAACAUUGCCUAUUCCAUCAUGGCAUACACCCAUGAAGGGUUGGCCUCACUAGGGUAGAUCUUCACGAAGUAGGCGAUUUUCUUGCCCUCACAAACUUCUUGGUUUCUCCACACGAUUUGGAGACUCCCAAGCAAACCUAGCCAAUCUAGGAGGCACCAUCCUCCAAAAGGUAAUAGAUGGUGUUGUUGAUGAUGAACUCCUUGCUCUUGUGCUUUAAAACAUAAUCUCCUUAACACUAAUACUCUCUCAUAGAUUUUGACUUUUGGAUAGGAGUGGUUUGGGUGGAAAGCAAUGAGGUGACUAGAAAUCAAAGGAUCAACGGUUCGAGUGGAUCCCUUUGAAAUCAACACAAGGAAUGGGAGCUCUCUCUCUCUCUCUGAAAUAUGGAUGUGUAAUGUGUUUACUUCGAGAGACAAUGGUCGAGUGGGUGGGGGCAUAUAUAGGCGGCACAAAAAACUGACUGUUACGCACCUUUUAGCACAUCUUGGUGAGACCGGCUGAAAACACACGGUCAGACCGAAUAGUAGAAAUGUUUGAACUUUAGAUACUUUGGUGACUCCAGAUGAAACUAUCCGGUGACACCAAGUUGUGCUCACCUAAGCACUUUACACACUUCGGUAAUUCUGACUGAAACCAUUCAGAAAUUCAGAACGAGUUGUAGUAGGCAACACAAGGUUAUAAGUGAUCUUCGGUGAGACCAAAGGGUCAACUUGGUGGGACCGAAAAGUUAGGGUUUUAGGCAACGACUAUAUCAUGAUGGCUCGGUGACUCUGAUUGGUUUGGUUCAGUGAGUCCGAGUUGAACUUUUAGUUUGUGAAAUAGUGGGAUCAUGUGAAAUGAUAUGAGGAUUUGGGAGUUUGAUCUUUAAUCACUUGAGCAAUGAACUCAUCAUCUCCUCAUAAGUUAGAGACCUUUCGGUCCAAAAAACUGCCCUAAGCCAAUGUACAACGCAAUGCACUUAGGAGAGGUGCUUAAAGAAAUAAAUUAUUCUUCAAGCACCGAUGCUUAUUUGUAGAAGGUACAAGCCUAAUUAGAGCAUCUCCAACGCCGACCCUUAACCGCCCGCAACCGCACGGUCCAAACGUGUUUUGCCAUCCAACGCGGUUCUAUAAUAUGUAUCAGUCCAGACAUGUUUUUCCUCAAAAACCGGAAACAAACCGGGGUACUUUGCGGGCGUCUGGACCGUUGCCACGCCCGCAUCCAACAACCAUUGCCCACCCAAACCCUCCCCUCGCCCGCGCACUUUCCCUCUCGAAGCCAGCUAUUCGCGUGCCGCUCUAGAACAACCGCUCCGCAUUGACGCCGGGACGUGACCUCUCACUGGCACCCGCACUAAAGCGGAUCACUUGCCGAGGGCACCACCCACGCCGCGUUCCCGGUGUCCGCACAUGUUCAAUGCCGGAGUGACGUUUACUGGACGGGAUGGGACGGAUAUCUACCGUGCCCGUUUAAUGCCUGUUUGUCCGUCUGCCACCAUUAGUAGGCUCACCGGCCGAGGAAUCAACUCCGACGCCCGCGCAUUUGGCGCACUGGGAUGCUUAGCCUCACCGAAGUGUGCUAUUUAAAGGCGACCACAACACAUCCACUCCACAUCUUCCUCCCGUGCACCACAUCUGCCACGACCGCGAACGGGAACGCUUUCUGGAAGAGCCUCUCGACCCAGCAAAAACACGAGGUGGCCGCCUCGCAGAGGCGUCGUGCCAGGCAGAUCGAGACCGGCAUGUCGGCCAGCUCCCUCGUGUCUUCAACGGCAACCCCAUGACGGAGAUGGGCUUUGGCGACGACUCGGCGCGGGAGCCCGCGCCGGUGCAUGCCGACUUACCAUGGAGCAAGCGAGGCGCACUUCACUGUGGCCAUGGCGGAGGAGGGCAAAUUUGACAAAUUUAACCUAUAGACGAAAUCAAAUCACAGAAUGAACUAUCCGUGAAACUAUUUCACGCGGCUGACCUUUUUGUGUGACGCCCGACACGAAGGCGCCACACUACACUGUGUAACGCCUAACAGAUAGGCGCUACACGGCCAGCGUCGCACCCGUGUGAUCAGAAAAUUACUAAGUCAGUGUGCAGCGCCUGAGAGCUAGGCGCCACACUAUACAGUGUAGCGCCUAGCUCCUAGGCGUUGCACUAGUGCAGCGCCUAGCUCCCAAGCGUUGCACUAGUGCAGCGCCUGAGAGCUAGGCGCCAUUGCACUAGUGCAGCGUCUGAGAGCUAGGCGCCACGGGUCAGCCGCGUGAAAUAGUUUUACGGACAGUUCAUUCUGUGAUUUGAUUUCGUCUAUAAGUUAAAUUUGUCAAAUUUGCCGCAGAGGAGCAGCCUGUGUUGGCACCUAUUCCGGUAUUCUGCAGGCUUACAACUUGUUCCUCUCCUCCUCGUGCAACCCCAGCUGGCGGAGGGCCAAACCUACAGCAAGUGUGCGAGCGAGGAGGUCGUAGCGGCCAUGGCCACGGCGAACCCCAACUUCUUAACGCAGAGCUGGCGUAGCCAGAUGCGGAUGUGGCGCUGGGAUAGAGGACAAGAAGACAAGAACACUGCGCGUCCUAUGUGCAGGCAGGAUCAUUCGAGGGCGCAUGUGGCAGGAGGGCAGGCAUUUUCAUGUUCAGCCGGAAGAGUUUAGACAAGACUCUAAUUAGGCCUUGAACAAUCAAAAAAUUGUUUUUUUGUUAAACACGGAUCACAGGAGAAACGAGGCACCCCUCAUGUAAUUGGUGCUUUUUAGAAAGAAAAAAACUAAUAUUCGUAUUUUCUUAAGCUUUGCUCAUUGACUCCCCGGUGAGGCGGUACGGAUGUUCCGUUAAGCAAGGUUCCCCUACCAUAUCUGCAGUCGAUUUUGUUGCCGUGAGCAAAUCCCACUGGAAGCACUCUUAAGCAUACGAAUUACUAGUUCAGGCGUCUCCAAGCGAACAGAAGACACAUGCAUGAAGAUUCUACCAAGCACAGAAGCGCCAUUUAUUACCAAAGCUCUCCACGAACCAUUUCUACUGUCACUUGAAGAUAAUUUAACUAGGUACACCACUGACGGAUUUGUUACAGUAUUUCUCGCAACGGGAUACAGAAUCAGGCAAAACCGGGGCCAACACAUCCAACGACCAACUCUCGUCCCCCCCUCGCAAAAUCUGGCGUUGGAAGCUGCCUUGCCAAAACAUGUUUCCCCCUCCUCUACCUGUCUGCUGCUAGACAGACCGAUGCUCAGAGCUCGUCCUUCAGAGGCUCG
This 4220-nucleotide long non-coding RNA is filed under the name Triticum aestivum (bread wheat). RNAcentral's name for it is "long non-coding RNA (TAES_LNC004164)". The record is from RNAcentral. Lineage: Eukaryota; Viridiplantae; Streptophyta; Magnoliopsida; Poales; Poaceae.